This is a long non-coding RNA of Panicum virgatum (switchgrass), 1838 nucleotides long. RefSeq lists it as uncharacterized. NCBI's taxonomy places the organism in Eukaryota, Viridiplantae, Streptophyta, Magnoliopsida, Poales, Poaceae. The record is from RefSeq and is a predicted model, not a curated record. The transcript has 2 exons.
CCUCUCCCGUGCUUGUGUUUGUGCUUCCCUCUUCCUCGUCUCUCCCUCGCAGUGCACAAGUCGGCGCCGACAGGGACAGCGGCGGCGGCCAGCAGCACCACGACGACAACUCGAGCAGCCCGGAAGCCGGCUUCAACUCCUCCGCGGCGACCGCGGGCGUGGGGAGCGUCGGCAGCAGGCUUGACAGCAGCAUCGUCGCGCCGCCGCCGGAUUGGUGCAUAUUAAACUGAUUGGUUGCUACGUCAAUCGAGACCUUGCUUCGUUGUUCGAGUGUUCAUCAUCAUCUGACCAAAGUUUGAAUCCUCAGGGACCCCAUCGAAUACAUCUUGCAGAUGCAUCAGCUACUCGAGUACAUCCCACGCAUGCAGCAGCUCGAGUGCCAGCUACUCACCGAGAUAGCCGACCUGCGGCUUGGGGCGGCCUCGCAGGUGGCCGGUGGGGCGCGCGUGCCUGCGUGGGCGUGGUGGCCGGCGGGCCCGGCCUCCCGCGGCUUGCUGGGUCGACGGCGCAGGUGGCCUCCUUGUCGAGCUCGUCGAGGAGGAGUUCAAGCUCGUCAUCCUCGACUUCGGGGAAGCACUCGAGCAUUCGAGGAAGAGCCGAAGAGGUCGAGCGCGUCAUCCUCGGCGGGCGCGGGCGGACGCGCAGGCGGCGGGCGCGCGCGGCCACCGGCGGCGGCGCGCGGCGGCAUGCGGGCCGACUUUUCUUUUAGUUUUUUAUUCGGUUUGUAGGGGCGGGUGGUCCCCCACCCUUACAAAUCCAUUUCUAGAAACGGACAGCAGUGUUACCCCCUCCUGAAAAUAAAUUUAUAGAAGCCUCUCCUAAAAAUAGAUUUAUAGAAGCGGGUGAGGGGGUGACCCGUCCCUAUAAAUAUAUUUUUAGGAGCAGAUAGCGUACUCGUUCUUGCAAACAACUAUUUUUAGCUGUGAAAAACAGAGGUGGAUGAGACAUCCGCCCCUAAAAAUGCCUUUUUAACUGCUCCUACAAAUUGUUUAUGUAGUAGUGUUUUUUUGCCUGAUUAAUAAGAAUGUAUGAUAUUUAUUAAUGUUAUGUUACCUCUAAUAUAAUGUAGGUGAUCGAUUAUUUUAAAUGGCUUACUGAGGUACUACAAUGCCUAGAUGAUAUACAUCUUCUGGUGGUAACCACAGAACGCCUACAAUUCAAAAAAUGACAAUCUCUUUUGAGGUAUCAUUAAGAUAAGAUCCAGGUAUCAUGAUGCCAAUAGUGGCUAGUGGGAAAGAAUAACUAAGUUCAGAUGACUUAUGAAAGAACUGUCAUAAAAAUAUGUCUUUUGGAACUUGAGAGCUAUGGUUAUCUGAUUUCAGAUUUGUCAUGAUUUAAAAUUCAAGCACUUCGACGGAAUCAACAUGAUAUUGUUAGUCUCUGUGAGAGCCUUUCAUGAGAAAAUCUACAUGAUAUAGAUAUAUUUGGUAAUACCUUUGCGGCGAUGAGUUUAGAAGAAAUUUUAUGUCAAGUCGUGAAGUAGUUGGGUUAUUAUUCGACUGAGGAGAGACCAGUAUAUACAAAUGAAGGUCUUUACCAGGGUUCUUUUCAAUUUCGAACCACGCCAGAUCCUACCGCAGAACCAAUGUUCACCAUCUACGGCAAAACACUUCCUCGUAGAAGUGAAGCAAAGGACAGCACAUUUAUCCUUGCAUUGAUUUUCAUUGUCGAUGCCCUCGGAUACAAAAUUGGCGAUGUUAAGUAUGUUGACUACCUCUUGUUUCGAAAUAAUAUUUGUUAGAUGAUGUAACGUAGGCAUGCAAUUGAACAUUUGUUAAAUCUUCUAUAUCUAAGUGUAGUUUGUGAGUUGUGACUAUAUAUUGCACACUAUUCAUGUA